AUUGAACGCUGGCGGCAUGCUUUACACAUGCAAGUCGAACGGUAACAGGCCGCCAGGUGCUGACGAGUGGCGAACGGGUGAGUAAUGCAUCGGAACGUGCCCAGUCGUGGGGGAUAACUACUCGAAAGAGUAGCUAAUACCGCAUACGAUCUAUGGAUGAAAGCGGGGGACCGUAAGGCCUCGCGCGAUUGGAGCGGCCGAUGUCAGAUUAGGUAGUUGGUGGGGUAAAGGCUCACCAAGCCAACGAUCUGUAGCUGGUCUGAGAGGACGACCAGCCACACUGGGACUGAGACACGGCCCAGACUCCUACGGGAGGCAGCAGUGGGGAAUUUUGGACAAUGGGCGCAAGCCUGAUCCAGCAAUGCCGCGUGCAGGAAGAAGGCCUUCGGGUUGUAAACUGCUUUUGUACGGAACGAAACGGCUCUGGUUAAUACCCGGGGAUAAUGACGGUACCGUAAGAAUAAGCACCGGCUAACUACGUG
RNAcentral lists this ribosomal RNA (482 nucleotides) under uncultured bacterium. Its description in RNAcentral is "partial 16S ribosomal RNA". It matches the Rfam family "Bacterial small subunit ribosomal RNA", at positions 30 to 507 of the family's 1533-position model. The record is from RNAcentral.